GAUGAACGCUGGCGGCGUGCUUAACACAUGCAAGUCGAACGUGAUCCAUUAGCAAUAGUGGUGAAAGUGGCGAACGGGUGAGUAACACGUAGGUAACCUGCCCUGAAGCGGGGGAUAACGAUUGGAAACGGUCGCUAAUACCGCAUGAGUCCAUCGAAGCGGGAGUGAGAUGGAGAAAACUGAGGUGCUUCAGGAGGGGCCUGCGUCCGAUUAGCUAGUUGGUGAGGUAACGGCUCACCAAGGCGACGAUCGGUAGCUGGUCUGAGAGGACGAUCAGCCACACGGGAACUGAGACACGGUCCCGACUCCUACGGGGGGCAGCAGUGAGGAAUAUUGGGCAAUGGGCGGAAGCCUGACCCAGCAACGCCGCGUGAAGGAUGAAGGCCUUCGGGUUGUAAACUUCUUUUAUGGGGGAAGAG
This 419-nucleotide ribosomal RNA is filed under the name uncultured Caldilinea sp. RNAcentral describes it as "bacterial SSU rRNA". It matches the Rfam family "Bacterial small subunit ribosomal RNA", at positions 28 to 449 of the family's 1533-position model. The record is from RNAcentral. Lineage: Bacteria; Bacillati; Chloroflexota; Caldilineae; Caldilineales; Caldilineaceae.